UGGCACAUUUACUCUCAGAUACACUGAUAAUGAUGUGAAGUGAACAGAUGAAAGGCAGCAUGACUGAAAUGUCACACUUUCAAACUUAAGGCAAAGAAAUCUGCCUUUUACCUCUAAGAUUUCUGUAACUACACUUUAUCUCUGUGAAAAGAUAUUUAUCUCUCAUGAAAAAGACUUUAUAGUUUCAUCAAUUCGGUUUUAUGAAAAGUGUUGUCACUGGUUGUAAAUGAAUAAUAAGAAGACAUAAUGCUUGUUCAUUUUAUAAUGUUCUCUCAGGGCUGUUCUUAUUUUUGUCCCUUUGGCUUCAUUAUGGAAUCGGAUGCUUUUAUUUUGAAGGCAAAACGCGGCAGGAAGUGACAAAAGUUCAAAGGUCAAGGGGUACAAGCGUGUAUCCAAGUAAAGGUUUUUUUUUUAUGGAGCACCUGGCCGAUGAGAGCACCAGAUAAGACAAAUCAUGAGGGAGAUUUUGAAAAGGUUCACCAAUGCAAGAGGACAGUUCAUAAGGGAUUUUGACACCUACCAAAUAUCCACCUUCUCCGAGACGGGUUCGUUGCGAAUGACCUCCGGAGCCAUCCAGGCCACCGUCCCAGCAAAGGACAUCUUGGUGCUCUUGUCGCUGAGCUCUUUGGACGUGCCGAAAUCAGAGAUCUUCACCGAGUCGUCGUCUACAGAACUCACUUUGGUGACUUGAGGUCUCUGUGGAUGAUCUUGUGGAGGUGAAGGUAGUUCAUGCCCCCAGCGAUGCCCAU
Lates calcarifer (barramundi perch) is the source of this 749-nucleotide long non-coding RNA. RefSeq lists it as uncharacterized. The record is from RefSeq and is a predicted model, not a curated record. The transcript is spliced from 3 exons. NCBI's taxonomy places the organism in Eukaryota, Metazoa, Chordata, Actinopteri, Centropomidae.